Molecule: ribosomal RNA, 728 nt
Filed under: Zangia olivaceobrunnea
Lineage: Eukaryota; Fungi; Basidiomycota; Agaricomycetes; Boletales; Boletaceae
Description: eukaryotic LSU rRNA
Rfam family: Eukaryotic large subunit ribosomal RNA
Source: RNAcentral
GGAACGGAGCGUCAUAGAGGGUGAGAAUCCCGUCUUUGACACGGACUACCAGUGCUAUGUGAUGCGCUCUCGACGAGUCGAGUUGUUUGGGAAUGCAGCUCAAAUAGGGUGGUAAAUUCCAUCUAAAGCUAAAUACAGGCGAGAGACCGAUAGCGAACAAGUACCGUGAGGGAAAGAUGAAAAGAACUUUGGAAAGAGAGUUAAAUAGUACGUGAAAUUGCUGAAAGGGAAACCUUGAUGUCAGUCGCGUCGGCCGGGGGCAACCUUGCUUCUUCGCUCGGUGUAUUUCCUGCUCGACGGGUCACAUCAUGUCGUACUCGCCGUAAAGGGCGAAGGGAACGUGGUACUCUUAGGAGUGUGUUUAGCCUUUCGUCGUAUGCGGUGGUCGGCACUGAGGAUCUCAGCACGGCUUCGGUCUGUGCUCAGGAUGCUGGCAUAAUGGCCUUAAGCGACCCGUCUUGAAACACGGACCAAGGAGUCUAACAUGCCUGCGAGUGUUCGGGUGUCAAACUCCGUGCGCGCAAUGAAAGUGAAAGUCGAGACCUCUGUCGUGGGGGGCAUCGACGCCCGGACCUGAGUCUUUGACCAAGGAUCUGCGGUAGAGCAUGCAUGUUAGGACCCGAAAGAUGGUGAACUAUGCCUGAAUAGGGUGAAGCCAGAGGAAACUCUGGUGGAGGCUCGUAUCGAUUCUGACGUGCAAAUCGAUCGUCGAAUUUGGGUAUAGGGGG